Molecule: ribosomal RNA, 494 nt
Filed under: uncultured bacterium
Lineage: Bacteria
Description: partial 16S ribosomal RNA
Rfam family: Bacterial small subunit ribosomal RNA
Source: RNAcentral
GACGAACGCUGGCGGCGUGCCUAAUACAUGCAAGUAGAACUCUGAAGGAGGAGCUUGCUUCUCUGGAUGAGUUGCGAACGGGUGAGUAACGCGUAGGUAACCUGCCUGGUAGCGGGGGAUAACUCUUGGAAACGAUAGCUAAUACCGCAUAAGAGUAGAUGUUGCAUGACAUUUGCUUAAAAGGUGCAAUUGCAUCACUACCUGUUGGACCUGCGUUGUAUUAGCUAGUUGGUGGGGUAACGGCUCACCAAGGCGACGAUACGUAGUCGACCUGAGAGGGGGAUCGGACACACGGGAACUGAGCCACGGUGCAGACUACGACGGGAGGCAGCAGUAGGGAAGCUUACGAAAUGGGCGAAAGACUGACGGAGCAACGCAGCGGGAGUGAUGAAGGUCUUAGGAUCGGAAAACGCGGUGAUUAGGGAAGAACAAACGGGGAAGUAACUGUGCACGUCGUGACGGGACCUAAUCAGAAAGCCACGGCUAACUACGUG